GGCUAGUCCGAAGGUUGUGAGUUAUCUCAAUUGAUUGUUCACAGACAAUUACAGAUCGAACUCCUGUUUUACUCUUUCCCCACUUCUCACUACUGUACUUGACUAGUCUUUA
This 112-nucleotide Y RNA is filed under the name Cebus imitator (Panamanian white-faced capuchin). Its description in RNAcentral is "Y RNA (ENSCCAG00000012769.1)". It matches the Rfam family "Y RNA". From Rfam's summary of the family: Y RNAs are components of the Ro ribonucleoprotein particle (Ro RNP), in association with Ro60 and La proteins. The Y RNAs and Ro60 and La proteins are well conserved, but the function of the Ro RNP is not known. In humans the RNA component can be one of four small RNAs -- hY1, hY3, hY4 and hY5. Lineage: Eukaryota; Metazoa; Chordata; Mammalia; Primates; Cebidae. The record is from Rfam by way of RNAcentral.